This 288-nucleotide long non-coding RNA is filed under the name Elaeis guineensis (African oil palm). RNAcentral's name for it is "long non-coding RNA (EGUI_LNC067853)". Lineage: Eukaryota; Viridiplantae; Streptophyta; Magnoliopsida; Arecales; Arecaceae. The record is from RNAcentral.
GUGGAAGAAAUUUACAUGAUUCGAUGGUCCAAAUUCAUCCAGAACUAGAUUGGACGGCUGACAUUCAUUACCAGUUGAAAGAAAGAUUUUUGAGUGCUGAUCAACAGUCCAGAUCAAAUCCAAAGCAUGAUCCAAUGGUUGUGAUGGUUUCUGACUUUGAAUAGAAGAUAAAGAGCACAAUCCAAUGACCUAGAUUCUAUCCGAAGCCUGAUCGGAUGGCUGUGGUGGUUUCUAACCCUGAUAAGGAUUUAAAUCAUAUUUUCUAAGCUGAUCUAAGUGGUCCAAGUG